Molecule: ribosomal RNA, 85 nt
Filed under: Brevundimonas sp.
Lineage: Bacteria; Pseudomonadati; Pseudomonadota; Alphaproteobacteria; Caulobacterales; Caulobacteraceae
Source: RNAcentral
GAUCCCAUCCCGAACUCGGUCGUUAAGCCCUCCAGAGCCAAUGGUACUUCGUCUUAAGGCGCGGGAGAGUAGGUCGCCGCCGGGU